RNAcentral lists this ribosomal RNA (434 nucleotides) under uncultured Clostridiales Family XIV bacterium. RNAcentral's name for it is "bacterial SSU rRNA". It matches the Rfam family "Bacterial small subunit ribosomal RNA", at positions 341 to 792 of the family's 1533-position model. Lineage: Bacteria; Bacillati; Bacillota; Clostridia; Eubacteriales; Clostridiales Family XIV. Incertae Sedis. The record is from RNAcentral.
ACGGAAGGCAGCAGUGGGGAAUAUUGCACAAUGGGGGAAACCCUGAUGCAGCAACGCCGCGUGAGUGAAGAAGUAUUUCGGUAUGUGAAGCUCUAUCAGCAGGAAAGAAAAUGACGGUACCUGACUAAGAAGCCCCGGCUAACUACGUGCCAGCAGCCGCGGUAAUACGUAGGGGGCAAGCGUUAUCCGGAUUUACUGGGUGUAAAGGGAGCGUAGACGGCUUUGCAAGUCUGAAGUGAAAGCCCGGGGCUCAACCCCGGAACUGCUUUGGAAACUGUAGAGCUAGAGUGCAGGAGAGGUAAGUGGAAUUCCUAGUGUAGCGGUGAAAUGCGUAGAUAUUAGGAGGAACACCAGUGGCGAAGGCGGCUUACUGGACUGUAACUGACGUUGAGGCUCGAAGGCGUGGGGAGCAAACAGGAUUAGAUACCCUGGUA